CGAAAUGCGGUAAGUAAUGUGAAUUGCAGAAUUCAGUGAAUCAUCGAAUCUUUGAACGCACAUUGCGCCCGCCAGCACUCUGGCGGGCAUGCCUGUUCGAGCGUCAUUUCAACCCUCAGAACCCCUUGCGGGAUCUGGCGUUGGGGAUUGGCAUCCAGCCAGCCCCGAAAUCUAGUGGCGGUCCCUCCGCGACCUCCCCUGUGCAGUAGCGAUACCUCGCAGCGGGACAGCGGUCUGACCACGCCGUAAAACCCCCAACUUCUCAAGGUUGACCUCGAAUCAGGUAGGAAUACCCGCUGAACUUAAGC
Molecule: unclassified non-coding RNA, 308 nt
Filed under: plant metagenome
Description: partial contains 5.8S ribosomal RNA, internal transcribed spacer 2, and large subunit ribosomal RNA
Rfam family: 5.8S ribosomal RNA (bases 1-106)
Source: RNAcentral